RNAcentral lists this ribosomal RNA (274 nucleotides) under uncultured bacterium. RNAcentral's name for it is "partial 16S ribosomal RNA". It matches the Rfam family "Bacterial small subunit ribosomal RNA", at positions 523 to 796 of the family's 1533-position model. The record is from RNAcentral.
AUACAGAGGGUGCGAGCGUUAAUCGGAAUUACUGGGCGUAAAGGGCGCGUAGGUUGACAAGUGUGUUGGAUGUGAAAGCCCCGGGCUUAACCUGGGAAGGUCAUUCAAAACUGCUUGUCUAGAGUACAGUAGAGGGAAGUGGAAUUUCCGGUGUAGCGGUGAAAUGCGUAGAUAUCGGAAGGAACACCAGUGGCGAAGGCGGCUCUCUGGACUGACACUGACGCUGAGGUGCGAAAGCGCGGGUAGCAAACAGGAUUAGAUACCCCAGUAGUCC